RNAcentral lists this long non-coding RNA (684 nucleotides) under Vulpes vulpes (red fox). RNAcentral describes it as "lncRNA (ENSVVUG00000026742.1)". Lineage: Eukaryota; Metazoa; Chordata; Mammalia; Carnivora; Canidae. The record is from RNAcentral.
UGUUAAUGGAAUAUGGGAGGCUGAAUGCCGAUUUCCCAUUGGCUGGUGAAGGUCUUUAACUGCUAGGGAAGACCAGCACAGUAAACAGGAAGUCAUCUCCAUGGCAACUGGCCAUUCAACUUAACUUUUUAACACACGAAGAGGUUGGAAGAUGAAACCAAGGGAAGACAGGACUGAAGGCCACGCAGGGCAGGACUCAGAACCUGAGGAUGCAGGAGGCUCGGAGACCAGGGAACGUUCUGUUGGAGGCAAUCAACAAUCCUUGGGAACUCACCACAGGAGCCAGAGUCCAAGGCAGCUUCCCUGGCCUUUGCCCACCCGGGAAAAUUUGUCUUCCCUACUAGGAGGAUCAGAGCUCUCUCUGCCUGGGAAGGAGAAGCUGUCCAAAAUCGCAGAGCCUGGCUUGGAAUUGAAGUUUGGCCUUUAACCUUCGGAGAAAGAGUGCAGUCUGUGAGUCCUGGUCAUUUUCAGAGCAUCCCAUGGAAACAGGUCUCCCUUCAGGACACCAGGAGGUAUUGGCCAGUCACUGCAGCCUACUGAAUGCAGUCACUAUUUCCUUCAGGAAGCUCUUUCCAACUGUCCUCCCACCUCCCUCAAGACAACUCAGAAGACCCAGCAGUCGCAUACAGUGUCAACGGUGGAGAACUCUAGGUUGAACAGAAUUUUAUAAUUAAAAUAAAUUAA